RNAcentral lists this ribosomal RNA (253 nucleotides) under uncultured bacterium. RNAcentral describes it as "partial 16S ribosomal RNA". It matches the Rfam family "Bacterial small subunit ribosomal RNA", at positions 524 to 776 of the family's 1533-position model. The record is from RNAcentral.
UACGUAGGGUGCAAGCGUUGUCCGGAAUUAUUGGGCGUAAAGAGCUCGUAGGCGGUCUGUUGCGUCGGCUGUGAAAACCCGGGGCUCAACUCCGGGCCUGCAGCCGAUACGGGCAGACUAGAGUUCGGCAGGGGAGACUGGAAUUCCUGGUGUAGCGGUGAAAUGCGCAGAUAUCAGGAGGAACACCGGUGGCGAAGGCGGGUCUCUGGACCUGUCCUGACGCUCAGGCGCGAAAGCUAGGGGAGCGAACAGG